GAUCUCAGAAUGAGCUGAAGAUCAGUGUCCCAAGUGUGACAGGGUAAACUCCCAAGAACGUCCAUUGAGAGCCUCAAACUAUGUAUUUCCUGGGACGUGACCUGAGCAGAAGAGCCCAGAUAAAGGGAGGGAAGAGAAAUGCAGAAGCUCCUCACAGGACCACAUCAUAGGGGCUGAGCUUCCUCAGAGCCUUGCUGCUUCUAAGAUCCAAGGAAUAUCUUGCCUUCCAGCACAUGGAGGAAGGCCCAGCAAUGACAGAGCCCCCUGAGAAAAGAGUGCCAGUUGUUAAAAGGUCUUAAUGUGCUGGAAGUCUGCCAUCCUCACCCUGAGAUCAGGGGACCACCUGGACAGCAGCCUUUGCUGUGUGCAACCCCAGCCUAGCUCUCUGAGUUUCAUCUUCUGUUGCAGCCUCCAGAGAGAGAAGUAUUCAUUUGCUUCCAGCCUGCCUCCCCUCCCCCCCCCCCCGCCCGAGCAUCGACACAGCAUUGAACCACGAGGGAAACUCCACAGGCUGUCAUCUGCGUAGCCCCUGUGCUCACCCUGGCCUACACUUUCAUGACCUCCUCAAAAUGAGUUCUGUGUGUUUGCCCAGAGAAAGAUGACAGACCUGAGGGUGCAUCCAGGAACUGGCUGGCACAGAGCUCCUGAUGGUCCCAGGACUUCACUUAGUAUGGUUCCUGUUGCUAAGCAACAGAAGUGCUGGAACUGCCAUCCAUCACCUGUCAUCCAGCAGCCUAGGUUAUGUGU
This 747-nucleotide long non-coding RNA is filed under the name Mus pahari (shrew mouse). RNAcentral's name for it is "lncRNA (MGP_PahariEiJ_G0004343.1)". Lineage: Eukaryota; Metazoa; Chordata; Mammalia; Rodentia; Muridae. The record is from RNAcentral.